AAUGCUAGGUAUGAGUUAUGGCUAUCAGUGGCCACUCGUGAAAUGAGAUAGAGAACGGAAUGCAGCCAAGGAUGACUUGCCGGUACGUGUAUGCAUGUUUCAAGGUACUAUAUGUGCCCCCAACUGUUUUAGAUCCAUGCUGACAUUUUCCGGCAAGUUGUCCUUGGCUACGUCUUGUUCUUUUUCUCUCACGUGAGGCCAUUGCAUGGUUUGCAUUUAGCUUCCAGGUC
This 230-nucleotide unclassified non-coding RNA is filed under the name Oryza sativa (Asian cultivated rice). Lineage: Eukaryota; Viridiplantae; Streptophyta; Magnoliopsida; Poales; Poaceae. The record is from RNAcentral.